AACUGAAUAGAAGCGCCAGAACUGAUUGGGACGAAAAUGCUUAAAGGUGAAAUUCCUGGAAAGUAAACAAUCAGUUGACGAGGAGGAGAUUAAUCGAAAUUUCGGCGGGAGUCUCCCGGCUGUGCAUGCAGUCGUUAAGUCUUACUUACAAAUCAUUUGGGUGACCAAGUGGACAGAGUAGUAAUGAAACAUGUGC
Molecule: non-coding RNA, 196 nt
Organism: Listeria innocua Clip11262
Lineage: Bacteria; Bacillati; Bacillota; Bacilli; Caryophanales; Listeriaceae
Source: Rfam